RNAcentral lists this transfer RNA (69 nucleotides) under Neverita didyma. Its description in RNAcentral is "tRNA-Phe". It matches the Rfam family "tRNA". From Rfam's summary of the family: Transfer RNA (tRNA) molecules are approximately 80 nucleotides in length. The record is from RNAcentral. Lineage: Eukaryota; Metazoa; Mollusca; Gastropoda; Littorinimorpha; Naticidae. RNAcentral also lists the same sequence under 1 other name.
AUUUCGAUAGCUUAUAAUAUCAGAGCAUAGCACUGAAGAUGCUAAGGAAGCGAGUUACGCUUCGAAAUA